GCCAUCUGAGGCAGAGCUGGAGGAGGGCUGUCCUUAGUCUGGGGCUCCCACGGUUUCCCCGGGGGCCUCAUAGACCAGCCCUGACCCUGCAGCUGCCCCCUUGGGCCCCCAGGGGUCUGUCCUGCCUGGAAAUGUGGAUCCCUGAUGGGCAGAGGGCCCUAUGGCUAAGCAGCGGGCAGCGCGGGGCCAAGUCCCAGGCCUGGGGGACACCAGCAGCCAGGGAGGAGGAUCAAAGCCUGGCCUGACUUUCCGCCCAGAUGAGUCAUCCAGCACCCUGCCUGGGCCCCAUCCCCCUCCUGAAGUUCCUCCUUCUGAUAGAUGGAGGCAGGGGUCAGACCCCCCAGCCCCGGGCAGCUGAGCCAACACUGCCGGACCCCCAUGGAGCACAGGAGAGUGGGGACAAGGGGUGCCGUGGUCAGAGCCCCAGGCCCCAGGAACCUGCAGUGCCUCUUGCCCCAACACCAGGCCCUUCCUUGGCUCCAAGAGCCGAAAAGAGAAGCUCCCAAAAGACGGGGUCCACUGUGACCCCCUGCCCCACACCCCACCACAGCACAGCCUAUUGGCUCUGCCACCAGGCUUGCCUCUUCUGCCCCCAGGGCCACCGUCCCCCGGGGCUGCAGCCUCCACCCCCCUUCACCACCCCCUCAGCGAAGCACCAGGGAGGCCCCGCAGCUUCCGGAGCACCCGGGAGGGCUUCUCCCUGGGCCCACCUCCUGGGGGGACCCACCCAGGCCACAGUUGGCCCCUCUUCCUCCCGUCAGCACCGCCAUCCCGCGCGCUGGACACCUGGCCUGCCCCAUGCUGCCGGCCCCUCUCUUGCUCACCUGUGUUAGUAGCCCACGCGGACAGAGGCGGAGGGAGGGACAGGGAGGGACAAAGCACACUGACUGGGCGUCGUCGCUGCAUCUGGGGUGGGAUGGUCCUCGACCAGCCACCACCAUGUAAGGCGGGGCCCGCAGGUGAUUGGGGGCAGCCUGUAGUGCAGGUGCCACGUGUGUGCACGAGGGUCCCUGGGUGUGUGAGCCUAGGCCACUGUCACAGUCUGUGCCCACUGAAUCUGCCUGGUGUGCUGGUGUCCUUCUGGAGGGAGCCAGAGGACAGCAGGGUGAAGACAAUGUCACCUGCUGCGAGGGGGGGCCAGGUCCUCAGCCUGGAGGUCAAGGUGCGGGCCCUGGCCCUUCCCCGCUGUGUGACUUGCCCCGUGGUGUGCCUCAGGGGACAGGUGGUUAAGGGAGCUCCCGCAGAGCCCUGCUGGGAAUGCAGCCCCCCUCCCUGUCUCCUGUCCCUCCCUGUCCCUGGGGCCCAGCCUCCCAGGCCUGCUUCCCAUCUGCUAAAUGGGCAUAAGAGCAGAUGGCCACAUGCAGGGGUCAUGGGGCCCAGGAGCCGGGCUGGAGCAAGGCCAGGUGGGGCCUGGCCCGCAGGGCCUCGGGAGGCUGCCCGAACAGAGGGGGUGUCUGCAGCCAAGGUCAGGCUGGGCGGGGGUCGGGCUGGGACCUUGCCCAGCACAACGAGGACAGGAGGAAGAGAGGUCACGAAGCCUGGGCCUUCCUUCUCAGGCCUCGUCCUCUGCAGAGGCGGGGACCUGGAGACCCCCGGCCACAGCCUGCUCCCGCUCUGAGCGUCAGGAGGGAGAGGCUGCGCGGCUGAACUCCUGCGUGGGAGGAGACGCCCAGAGAUGCUGCUCCUCUGACCAAGGUCCACAGCAGGUCUGCGCACAGGGGAGGCCUUGCUGUGUCUGCCACCCAGUGGGACCAGAUCAGCAGGAGAGGAGGGGAGGAGGAGGGCAGAGGAGCUACAUGGUGGGGGUGGGCAGGUCAGGCCCCAGCACCUCCAAGAAAAUGGAGUCUCCCUUCCCUGGAUAUUGUGGACAAGAGGGCUCUGCGGGCCAGGCCGGGAGCUCAGGGUCUGAGGUCAGCAGGACACUGUCCUGAGGCUCAGAGGACAGGGAGGCCGCCCUGCCAACAGGUGGAGCACCCGGGAGGCAGCGGGGCAGGUUCCAGGAUGGGCCGGGCCAUGCUGUCCCCACCAUGUCCCCACUGUGUCAUGGACACGCACCUCGUGCUCUGGGCUUGAAGGUGCUCCUGGGUAAAAGGGCAGGGAGCACUUGGCACAAGGCCUGGCAGAGGGAGCACGCUGGACAGGGGAGCCAGGACGCUGUAUCACCAAUCACGGGCGCGGUUGCCAGGUGCCGUGGUACCCACUGCAGUGUGGAGGUGGGAGGGGACAAAUAAGGGGCAUCCAGAGCGGGGAGUGAGCCAGGCCUCCCCGGGAGGCUGCUGUGCUUCAAGGGGUCUCCCAGGUUCACUGGCUGGAAACAGUCCCCAGGGCAGCUGCCAGGAGAGUGGCCAGGAGGUGGUCAGGUCAUGGGUGUCUGCCACCCAGUGGGGACCCCCACCCUCACGGUGGAUGAGGGUCUUUAAGCCAGAGUGGGCUCCCUAUCCAGAGAGUGAGGUGUUUUUUGGGAGGGGGGACUGGAGAGUGAACAUGGGGAGCUUCACAACUGAGCCACAUCCCCAGCUCUUUCCAUUUUUUAUUUUGAGACAGGGCCUCGCUAAGUUGCUGAGGCUGGCUUUGACCUUGGGAUCCUCCUGCCUCAGCCUCUGGAGCCUCGGAGAUUACAGAUGUGAACCACUGCACUUGACAGGAGUGAGGAGACAACCUGGCCACGUGGCAGCCACUUACCACGGGGUAGGUUCUUCUAGUUCCCUUGAUGAUGUUUUCUCAUGCUACUAAUGAUCUAUUAAGGACAUCCAGAGGAGGGGACAUGGGGACGUGCAAGAGAAGCCCAGGGAGCACUCAGGAGAGCCAGUGGCCACUGUGCCUGCAGAGGACCUUGGGAAGUCUCUUCCUUCUCAGACACGUGGUUCCCUGUUGAAGAUGAGGACACUGGGUGGGACGUGGGCCCUCCCUGGUCCUUUUCUGGGAGCUACUGCUUGGUAGCUCCAGGAGUGGUCAGGGUCCCUGGCCACCAGGGAUAGAAGUGACCCUGUGAUGAGGGCCAUGUCCUUCCCCUUGUCCCUCCCUCUGCCAGCAUUUCACAGUUCCUUCCUGGGUCUUGGCAUGAGGCCUGGCACCAGGUGGGACCAGUGUUGUCAAGGACCCUUAUCCUUUGAGGAGGGUGAAGGGAGUGACAUUGCAGAGUCAGGUGACAGACCACAGGCCUCCCUAGAAACCCAGGGAAAACUCCCCUCCUGGGUUCAUGGAGGCUCUGCCCCACUGCCUUUGGGGGAUGUCGGUGGAGAGAAGCCUGCCUCCCUGCACGGGGACCUUGGCACGGCAGCUCUGUGAGCCUCGGUGUCUUCCUCUGUGAAACAGGAGUAAGGGGAAGUGUGGAGGCCUUCUCUCCUAGGACUGCGGAGUGGAUUCUGUGCAUUUGAAAAUAAAGUGCUUAAAUAGA
Ictidomys tridecemlineatus (thirteen-lined ground squirrel) is the source of this 3397-nucleotide non-coding RNA. The record is from RefSeq and is a predicted model, not a curated record. Lineage: Eukaryota; Metazoa; Chordata; Mammalia; Rodentia; Sciuridae.